AACGAACGCUGGCGGCAUGCCUAACACAUGCAAGUCGAACGAGACCUUCGGGUCUAGUGGCGCACGGGUGCGUAACGCGUGGGAAUCUGCCCUUGGGUUUGGAAUAACAGCGAGAAAUUGCUGCUAAUACCGGAUGAUGACGUAAGUCCAAAGAUUUAUCGCCCAAGGAUGAGCCCGCGUAGGAUUAGCUAGUUGGUGAGGUAAAGGCUCACCAAGGCGACGAUCCUUAGCUGGUCUGAGAGGAUGAUCAGCCACACUGGGACUGAGACACGGCCCAGACUCCUACGGGAGGCAGCAGUGGGGAAUAUUGGACAAUGGGCGAAAGCCUGAUCCAGCAAUGCCGCGUGAGUGAUGAAGGCCUUAGGGUUGUAAAGGCUCUUUUACCCGGGAUGAUAAUGACAGUACCGGGAGAAUAAGACUCCGGCUAACUCCGUGCCAGCAGCCGCGGUAA
This 451-nucleotide ribosomal RNA is filed under the name uncultured bacterium. RNAcentral describes it as "bacterial SSU rRNA". It matches the Rfam family "Bacterial small subunit ribosomal RNA", at positions 29 to 523 of the family's 1533-position model. The record is from RNAcentral.